UGUGAAGACAGGGUGAAGUGGCAGCAGUGUCUCCGUUCUGGAUCAUGGAAGGUCUGCCAGACUCCAAACUUCAAACACUCCAUGAAUCGACUCCGCGGCCUGCUGAAUUCCCAGUCUUGCCUUCCCCUCUUCUAAGCAGCAAUUGUUGAAAUGUUGGCCAAAUUAAAAUACUGUCCUGCAGAUCUCAACAAACAAUAUGAAGUCUGGUUUAUUUCAACAAUUUGUGGUACCUUGACUUGGAAUUAUAUUGCUUAAUAGACAGAUAGUCGGAUGGAAUAUCCAAAAUUGGCAUCAAAACCCCUAGGCCCUUUGAAAUCACUCUUGGGGCCCUUCAUGGAGAGCAGCCUGACAGCCUGACUCUGGUCUAAGAUCAUGCCUUUCACUGACACAUCUUCUAGACUUACUCUCAGGAUGCACUUGAAACUCAAGGGAGCAGGACACUGCAAGAAAGCCCAGUGGACUGGACUUUCUAACGUCUGAGGAGACAGUGAAGCACUUGAAGAAAUCUCAGUGGGGGAGACCAGGAAUCUAAACGGCCACGUCAAAGUGCUUCAGCAAACCUGGGUCUCUUUCCAGGAUGGGUUAAACAUAAAAAGGAUGAGAGAAUCUUAACGACAUGAGAAAGACAAGACUCUCCUCCAGUGAAGUAUAAAUAGGCGCAUGGACUUCCUGCUGCCCCUCAGCACCCACCCACUUACCGGACAUUCAUCCACUAAAUUGUUACCAAACAUCAAGGGAGCGGGCAAGGCAUUCCUGUCAUAGGCAAGGGAGGUCCUCCCACGACCCUGGGGCUUUAGAUCGUGAAAAAGAAUUCUAAGUCCUGAAGCCAAGUGGAUUUUACCUUUUGAACAGACUUUAAUUUGUGGAGAUUAUCUUUUUAAUUUAAAUUUAAUUACUGGGUAGUGGUUUUACCAGCUGUGUUGAGGUUGGUCGCUUUUUGUGGUUACUACAGAUGCUGAUGAAGGCCAAGGGUUCAAAUACUGAGCCUUCCUUAGCACCCAGAAGGUGAGGGUCGCAAGAACUGUCACUUCAAUCCCAAAUAAUCCUACUCCUGUUGAGCCUUUUUGCUCUGCUCGGGCCUUUCCCAGGGGAUGAAAUCAGAAAACAAUUCAUUUACAGUGCUUUUUUAAAAAAGUUUUUUUUUUUUUGCUUUCUUCAAAGUUAUACUUGUACAUGAUUUAAAGAGUUAAAUGUUCCAACAAGACUUCCCAUUCCCUCAAGGCAACCACUUUCAACUUUUAGCUGAUUCUUCGGUAUUUACUAUCACAGAUCUAAAUGACACGUUCACAUUUCUACUUCUCGGCUUUUCAGUUAGCCAUUAUCUGUUGAUUUCCCAGUAUGGAAGAUAAGGCUUUAGCUUUCUUUUGCACACUCCUCUGCACUUGCACCACAUAUCUACACUUUCAGUCCUUAAAUCUGCUACAGUUAUAACUUGCUCAUCCUGCCCAAUCAGCAGGAUGUCAUUGAUGUAACAGAUUAAUGUGAUGUUCUGCAGGAUGUCCAGAAGGUCCAGAUCUCUUCAGGCUAUUUUAUGACAGAGGGAAGGAAUGUUAACAUAGCCCUGGGCCAUACAGUAAUUGUGUACUUUCGUGUUUCAUGGAAUACCAGUUGUUUCUGAUCCUUUCUUAUGACUGGAAUAGAAAAGAAUGCAUUCAC
Molecule: long non-coding RNA, 1656 nt
Filed under: Equus asinus (donkey)
Lineage: Eukaryota; Metazoa; Chordata; Mammalia; Perissodactyla; Equidae
Description: lncRNA (ENSEASG00005027504.1)
Source: RNAcentral